RNAcentral lists this long non-coding RNA (293 nucleotides) under Helianthus annuus (common sunflower). Its description in RNAcentral is "sRNA HanXRQr2_Chr10g0436301". Lineage: Eukaryota; Viridiplantae; Streptophyta; Magnoliopsida; Asterales; Asteraceae. The record is from RNAcentral.
UUUGAAUCUGAUUCAAGCUCUCUAAGUGGAAGUAUAUGCUUCCUACCUGAGAGAGAAUCGGGUUCAAAUCUUGCGGGGACCUUCUUUUAUGGUCCGGUUAUUUAUGUAGUCACCUAUACUAGGUGCCGUUUGAUUUCGGGACUCCUCUAGCUUGCUUGGUAGUUGUUCAAGACUUCUAAGCACUCUCAAGUGAGUGCUGCUUUGUGAUGAUUGAUGAUAUAUGCUACGCAUAGGAUGGACUCGUGCCUUAGCGACUUUAAAACUUGAAAGAUAAUAGUUGUACUUAUUUGAUU